ACCGCACAAGCGGUGGAUGAUGUGGUUUAAUUCGAUGCAACGCGAAAACCUUACCCACCUUUGACAUGUACGGAAUCCUUUAGAGAUAGAGGAGUGCUCGAAAGAGAGCCGUAACACAGGUGCUGCAUGGCUGUCGUCAGCUCGUGUCGUGAGAUGUUGGGUUAAGUCCCGCAACGAGCGCAACCCUUGUCAUUAGUUGCUACAUUCAGUUGGGCACUCUAAUGAGACUGCCGGUGACAAACCGGAGGAAGGUGGGGAUGACGUCAAGUCCUCAUGGCCCUUAUAGGUGGGGCUACACACGUCAUACAAUGGAUGGUACAAAGGGUCGCCAACCCGCGAGGGGGAGCCAAUCCCAUAAAGCCAUUCGUAGUCCGGAUCGCAGUCUGCAACUCGACUGCGUGAAGUCGGAAUCGCUAGUAAUCGCGGAUCAGCAUGUCGCGGUGAAUACGUUCCCGGGUCUU
This 461-nucleotide ribosomal RNA is filed under the name uncultured Acidovorax sp. RNAcentral's name for it is "bacterial SSU rRNA". It matches the Rfam family "Bacterial small subunit ribosomal RNA", at positions 920 to 1382 of the family's 1533-position model. The record is from RNAcentral. Lineage: Bacteria; Pseudomonadati; Pseudomonadota; Betaproteobacteria; Burkholderiales; Comamonadaceae.